RNAcentral lists this ribosomal RNA (460 nucleotides) under uncultured bacterium. RNAcentral describes it as "partial 16S ribosomal RNA". It matches the Rfam family "Bacterial small subunit ribosomal RNA", at positions 338 to 795 of the family's 1533-position model. The record is from RNAcentral.
CCUACGGGAGGCAGCAGUGAGGAAUAUUGGUCAAUGGACGAGAGUCUGAACCAGCCAAGUAGCGUGAAGGAUGACUGCCCUAUGGGUUGUAAACUUCUUUUAUAAAGGAAUAAAACGAGGCACGUGUGCCUUUUUGCAUGUACUUUAUGAAUAAGGAUCGGCUAACUCCGUGCCAGCAGCCGCGGUAAUACGGAGGAUCCGAGCGUUAUCCGGAUUUAUUGGGUUUAAAGGGAGCGUAGAUGGGUUGUUAAGUCAGUUGUGAAAGUUUGCGGCUCAACCGUAAAAUUGCAAUUGAUACUGGCAGUCUUGAGUACAGUUGAGGUAGGCGGAAUUCGUGGUGUAGCAGUGAAAUGCUUAGAUAGCACGAAGAACCCCGAUUGCGAAGGCAGCUUACUAAACUGUGACUGACAUUGAUGCUCGAAAGUGUGGGUAUCAAACAGGAUUAGAUACCCUUGUAGUC